RNAcentral lists this ribosomal RNA (468 nucleotides) under uncultured bacterium. RNAcentral's name for it is "partial 16S ribosomal RNA". It matches the Rfam family "Bacterial small subunit ribosomal RNA", at positions 28 to 507 of the family's 1533-position model. The record is from RNAcentral.
GACGAACGCUGGCGGCGUGCUUAACACAUGCAAGUCGAACGGAAAGGCCCUGCUUUUGUGGGGUGCUCGAGUGGCGAACGGGUGAGUAACACGUGAGUAACCUGCCCUUGACUUUGGGAUAACUUCAGGAAACUGGGGCUAAUACCGGAUAGGAGCUCCUGCUGCAUGGUGGGGGUUGGAAAGUUUCGGCGGUUGGGGAUGGACUCGCGGCUUAUCAGCUUGUUGGUGGGGUAGUGGCUUACCAAGGCUUUGACGGGUAGCCGGCCUGAGAGGGUGACCGGCCACAUUAGGCCUGAGAUACGGCCCAGACUCGUACGGGAGGCAGCAGUGGGGAAUAUUGCACAAUGGGCGGAAGCCUGAUGCAGCAACGCCGCGUGCGGGAUGACGGCCUUCGGGUUGUAAACCGCUUUCGCCUGUGACGAAGCGUGAGUGACGGUAAUGGGUAAAGAAGCACCGGCUAACUACGUG